Molecule: long non-coding RNA, 7410 nt
Filed under: Fragaria vesca (wild strawberry)
Lineage: Eukaryota; Viridiplantae; Streptophyta; Magnoliopsida; Rosales; Rosaceae
Description: long non-coding RNA (FVES_LNC002189)
Source: RNAcentral
UGCUUAAUGGAGUUGAACAUGUUUUACUUGAACAUGAUCAUAACGUGAAGUAGAUUAUAGUUUGACUACUUGAGUUCUAUACGGGAUCAAUAAGUUAGAAUUCAUUAAUGUUUAGAAGAACUUUGGCAUAUGUCCGGGAUCAAUAUGGCUUAUGUACUGAAAUCUUUAGCAUGCAAUCUAGGGAAUUCAAUUGCUAUCAACUAGAGAGGGUAGGAGUAUUAGGUGGUGGAUUCAAAGCUUUAGCAUCUUCAUUAUCUAUUUCGUAAACUCUUACAAAUCUGAUUUUUUUUUCUUUUGUUUCAAUUUUCUUACUUUAUUUUCUGUUUUCAAUCUAAACAUCAUAAAAUCAUAUUGUUAUUUCAUUAGGUGUAGUAUAAUUGGCAUAGUAAGUUGUUUUAAUCAAUUCAUAGAGGGAACGACCUCGUGCUUGCACUUCUAUUCUAUAAGUGGUUCGUGCACCUGCAAGUACUAUAUUAAAACAUACAACACCUUGACCCUCUAAGAGGCUACCUUAAUCCGUCUUUGCCCGCUUUGACCAAACUUGGGCCACCUUGACGCACCUUGGACCCCCAAGGGGCCGCCUUAACCCGGCUAAGGCCACUAAGGGGACGCGUUCACCCGUCUAAGGUCGUCAAGGGGAUGCCUUGACUCGCCAAGGGGAAACCUUGACCCUCCUAGACCAGCCUAGGGUUGCCUUGACCCUUCUAGGGCCACCAAAAGGCCGCCAUGACUCUCCAAAGGGCCGCCAUUACCCUCCUAGGGCCGUCUUGAGCCGCCUUAGCUGCCUUGACCCUUCUAGGCUCUCCUACGGCCACCUUGACACCUCCUACGGCCGCCUAGACCCUCCUAGGCCCGCCUUGACCCGUCUAGGGCCACCAAGAGGCCAUCUUGACCUGGACAGAGCCGCCAAGGGGCUGCGUUCACCAAGGGGCUGCCUUGACCCUCUUAGGCCCGUCUAGGGCCGCCUUUACCCGCAUUAGCCCGCCAUGACCCGCCUUGACCUUCCUUAGGCAGCCAAGAGGCCACCUUGACCCAUCCAAGGGCACCAAUGGCCCGCUUGAACCGUUUGUCGACCCACCUUGGGCGGCCAAGAGGCCGCCUUCACCCGGCUAGGGCCACCAAAGGGGUAGCGUUCACCCGUCUAAGGUAACCAAGCGGCCACCUUGACCUUCGUAGGGCUGCUUUGGCCUGCCUUGACCCAUUUUGGCCCCCCUUGACCCGUCUUGGCCCCCCUUGACCCGUCUUCGGCUACCUAGACCCUCCUAGGGCUGUCUAAACCGGCCAAGUCCCACCUUGACCCUCCUAGAGCCACCAAGAGGCCGCCAUGACUCGCUAAAGGGUCGUCAUGGCCCUCCUAGGCCUGUCUAGGGCCACCUAACCCGGCUAGACCCUCUUAGGGCCGCCUUGACCCAUCUAGGGACAUAAAAUGGCCGCCUUGACCCGGCUAAGGUAGCCAAAGGGCCGCGUUUUAAGGCCGUCAAGGGGCCGCCAUGACCCGCCAAAGGGUUGCCUUGACCCUUCUAGGCCCGUCUAAGGACGCCUUGACCCGUAUUAGCCCGCCUUGACCCUCCUAAGGCGGCCAAGAGGCCGCCUAGACCCUUCUAGGGACGCCAAGAAGCCGCCUUGACCCUCUUAGGGCCGUCAAGAGGUCACCUUGACCUGUUUAGGGCCACCAAAGGGCUGCCUUGACCCGUCUAGGGCCACCAAGAGGCCGCCUUGACUUGUCUAGGGCCACAAAAGGGUUGCCUUGACCCGACUAGGGCAGCCAAAAGGUCGCGUUCACCCGUCUAAGGCUAUCGAGGGGCCGCCUUGAUCGGCCAAGGGGCUACCUUGACACUCCUAGGGUUGUCUUGACCCGCCUUGACUUGCUUUAACCCGUCUUGGGCCGCUAAAAUGCUGCCUUGACCCAUCUAAGGCAACCAAGGGCCCGCCUUGGGCCACCUUGACCCUCCUUGGGCCGCGUUCACCCGUUUAUGACUCGACAAGGGGUUGCCUUAACCCGCCAAGUGGCUUCCUUGACCCUCCUAGACCCGCAUAGGGAGGCCUUGACCCUCUUUUGCCCUCCUAUACCCACCUAAGGUCACCAAUGGGAAACCAUGACUCGCCAAAGGGUCAUCAUGACCCUCUUAGGCCUAUCUAGGGCCUCCUAACACGGCUAGACCCUCCUAGGGCCGCCAAGAGGCCCCCUUGACCCGUCUAAGGCCACUAAGGCUAGGGGUCGCCAUGACCCUCCUAGACCUGCCUAGUGCCGCCUAACCCGGCUACACUCUCCUAGGGUCGCCUUGACCCGUCUAGGACCACAAAAGGACCGCCUUGACCCAGUUAGGGCAGCCAAAGGGCCAUGUUCACCCAUCUAAGGCCACCGAGGGGCCGCCUUGCCCCUCUAGGAUCGCUUUGGCCCGCCUUGACCCGCUUUGGGCCGUGUUGACCCACCUUGGGCCUCCUUGACCCUCUUUGGGCCACCAAAGGGCCGCCUUAACCCAUCUAAGGCCACCAAGGGCCCGCCCUAACCCGCCUUGACAUGUCAAGGGUGACUUUGACCCGCCAGGACCUACCUAGACCUGCUUAGGUUUACCCUAAACUUGCCAAGGGGCUGCCGAGACCCCCUAGUGCCGCUAGUGGGCCGUCUUGACCUACCGAUGGCUAUCAAGAGGUCAUUUUGACCUGCCUUGACCUGCUAUAGGACCACCUUGACCAGCCUUGACAAGUAAAAGGGCCGCUUUGACCCGCCUUAACAUGCUAAGAGACCGCCUUGGCGCUCCUAGAUCCACGUAGUAACCAUCUAGACCCGCUUAAGGACCGCCUAGACCCUCUUAGAGACCACCUAGGGCCGCCUUCACCCACAUAGACCUGCUUAGAACCUGCGUAGGGACCGCCUAGAGCUGCUAAGGGGCUGCCGAGACCUUGCUUGACAUGCCAAGGGGCCGCUUUGACCAACCUUAACCUGCCAAAGGACCGUCUUGACCCAGUUUGGUUUAGCCCAAACCUGCCAAGGGGUUGCCGAGACCCCCUAGUGCCGCUAGGGAGUCGCCUUGACCCACAGAGAGCCACCAAGAGGCUGCUUUGACCCGCCUUGACAUGCCAAGGGGCCUUUUUGACCCGCCUUAACCUGCCAUGGGACCGCAUUGACCGCCUUGACAUGCAAAGGGGUCGGUUUGACCCACUUAGACAUACCAAGGGGCCGUUUUAACCCACUUUGACUCUCCUUAACCUGCAAAGGGACCGCCUUGACCCACUUUAACAAGCUAAGGGGCCGCUUUGACCUGCCUUGACAUGCCAAGGGACCACCUUAACUCGCCUUGACAUGCGAAGGAGCGGGUUUGACGUGCCUUAACCUGCCAUGCGCCUUGACCCGCCUUGACCCGCCUUGACAUGCAAAGGUGCGCCGUAACCUGCCUAGGGCCGUCAACUCUUGCCUAAACCUGCUUACAACCUGCGUAGGGACCGCCUAGACCUACUUAGGUUUAGCCUAGACCCGCCAAGGGGCUGCCGAGACCCGGCUUGACAUGCCAAGGGGUCGCUUUGACCCGCCUUAACUUGCCAAGGGACCGCCUUGACUCCUUAGCCCGGUUUGGUUUAGCCUAAACCCUCCAAAGGGUUACUGAGACCCCCCUAGUACUGCUAGUGGGUCGUCUUGACCCGCGAAGGGCCGCCAAGAGGCCGCUUUGACCCGCCAUGACUUGCCAAGAGACCGCCUUAACAGCCUUAACCCACCUUGACUUUCCAAGAGGACGCUUUGACCCGCCUUGACCUGCCAAAUGACCGCCUUGACUGGCCUUACAAGCCAAGGGGCCUCUUUAACCCACCUUGACAUGCCAAGUGAUCUCCUUAACCAGCCUUGACAUGCAAAGGAGCCGCUUUGACCUGUCAAGGGAUCGCCUUGACCAGCCUUGACAGUCCAAGUGCUGCUUUGACCUGCCUUAACCUGCCAAGGGACCACUUUAACCAGCCUUAACAUGGCAAGGGGCCGCCUAGCUUGAUUGCCUUGACCCACCUUGACAAGUUAAAGGGCCGUUUGACCCACCUUGACAUGCCAUGGGACCNNNNNNNNNNNNNNNNNNNNUGACAUGCCAUGGGACCGCCUUGGCCCUCCUAGACCCACAAAUGGACCACCUAGACCAGCUUAGAGACUGCCUACACCCGCUUAGGGACCACCUAGACCCGUUUAAGAGCCUAGACACGCUAAAGGGCUGUCGAGACCCGCCAACGGCUGCUAGUGGGCCUCUUUAACCCGCCAAGGGCCGCUUUGACCUUCCUUGACCUACCAAGGGACCGCCUUGGCACACCUUGAAAAGCCAAGGGCUGAUUUAACCCUCUUUGACCUGCCUUGACCUGCCAAGGGACUGCCUUGACCCACCUUGACAAGCCAAGGGGCCGCUUUGACCUGCCUUGACAUGCCAAGGGACUGCCUUAACCCGCCUUGACAUACCAAGGGGUCGCUUUGACCGCCUUGACCUGCCUUGACAUACCAAGCGACCGCUUUGACCACCUUGACAUGCCGAGGGCCGCUUUGACCUAUAUUGACCUGCCAAGGGACCACUUUGACCACCUUGACAUGCCAAGGGACUGCCUUAACCCACCUUGACCCACCUUAGACUGAUGAACGCGUCCCUUUGGCUGCCCUAACUGGGUCAAGGCGACCUCUUGACGGCCCUAGGAGGGUCUAGCCCGGUUUGGCGGUCCUAGACGGGCCUAGGAGGGUCAUGACAACCCCUUGACGAGUCAUGGCGGCCCAUUGGUGGCCCUAGGAGGGAGGGCCUAGAAGAGUCAAGGCACCCUUAAGCGAGUCUAGGAAGGUCAAGGAAGCCCUUUGGCGGGUAAAGGCGGCCCCUUGGCGGCAUUAGACGAGUGAACGCAGGCUCUUGGCAUCCCAAAGAGGGUCAAGGCGGGCCAAGGCUGCUCAAGGCAGAUCAAGGCUAGUCAAGCGGCCCCUCGGCGGCCUUUGACGGGUGAACGCGGCCCUUUGGCUGCCCUAGCCGGGUCAAGCGGCCCCUUGGUGGCCCUAGACGGGUCAAGGUGGCCCAUUGGCUAUCGUAGGUGGUUCAAGGUGGCCCCUUGGUGGCCUUAGACAAGGCGGCCUAAGACGGGAUAGGAAGGAGGGUUAAGGCAGCCCUAGACGGGCCUAAGACGGUUUGACCCACCUUAGGCAGUCCCUUGGCAUGUCAAGGUGGGUCAAACCGGCCCAUUGUCUUGUCAAGGUGGGUUAAGGCUGUCCAUUGGCAUGUCAAGGAGGGUCAAAGCGACCCCUUAGCAUGUCAAGGUGGGUCUAGGCGGUCAAAGCAGUCCUUUGGUAGGUCAAGGCAGGUCAAAACGGCCCCUUGACGGCCCUCGGCAGGACAAGCCAGUCCACUAGCGGCGCUAGGCGGGUCUUAGCAGCCCCUUGGCGGGUCUAGGCUACCCCUAAGCCAGUCUAGGUGGUCCCUACACAAGUUCUAAACAGAUCUAGGCAGAUCUUGACGGCCCUAAGCGGGUUAAGACACCCCUUGGCGUCCCUAAGUGGGUCUAGGUGGUCCCUACGUGGGUGUAGGAAGGCCAUGGUAGUCCCUUAGUAGGUCAAGGUGAGUAAAGGUGGUUAAGGCGGUCAUGGCGGUCCCUUGGUAGGUCAAGGCGGGUUAAGGCGGCCCACUAAAGGCCCUAGGCGGGUCUCAAUAGGCCCUUGACAAGUCUAGGCUACCCCUAACCUGGUCCAGGCAAUCCUUACUCUGGUUUUAAGCAGGUCUAGGUGAGUCUUGACUGUUUUAAGCGGGUCAAGGCGACCUGUUGGCGGCCCUAAGUGGGUCUCAACAACUCCUUAGCGGCCCUAGGCGGCCUUUAACCGGGUCUAUGUGGUCCCUAAGCUAGUCCAGGCGGUCCCUAAGCUAGUCCAAGCGGUCCCUAAGCGGGUCUAGGUGGCAGCUACGAGGGUCUAGGAGGGCCAUGGUUAUCCCUUGGCAGGUUAAGGCGGGUCAAAGUGGCUCCUUAGCAUGUCAAGGUGGUCAAGGGAGGUCAAAACGACCUCAUGGCAGGUCAAGGCGGGUCAAAGCGGUCCCAAGGCAGCCCUAGGCGGGUGAAGGCAGCCCCUUGGCAGGUCAAGGCCCCCUAGGAGGGUCAAGGUGCCUUCUUGGCGGCCCUUAGUAGGUCUAGGUGGUCCCUACAUGGGUCUAGGAGGGUCAAGGCGGUGGGAGGUCAAGGCAGGUCAAAGCGGCCCUUUAGCGGUUAGCGGUCCUUAACGGCUCAAGGAGGCCCACAAUCGGCCCUAGGCGGGUCUCAGUAGCCCCUUAGCGGUCUAGGCAGCCCUUAAACGGGUCUAAGUGGUCCCUACGUGGGUCUAGGAUGGUCAAGACGGUCCCUUGGCAUGUCAGGGUGGGUCAAAGCGGCCUUUGACGAGUCAAGACCGCCCUUUAGUGGCCCUAAGCGGGUCUCGGCAGCCCCUUGGCAGGUCUAGGAUACCCCUAAACGGGUCUAGACGGUCCCUCCGAGGGUCCUAAGCAGGUCUAGACGGGUCUUGACGGCUCUAGGUGAGUUAAAAGUAAUGGGAGAGGAUCCUCUCUUGAGCUAGUUACUUUCUCCUUAGAGGAUCCGUGUGCCAAUCCCUCCGUCCUCUCCUUUGAGUUGCACUGCUCCAAGAGUAUACGAAUCAGCAAUAACCACAGUGCAUUUUGAGCACAAUAUGCAGGGGCUAUAAUCAAUAAACAAUUUCACUCAACCGUUGCUUUCGAUGGUUUUAGGUUUGUUUAGCAAGAAACGAUUUCAUCAAAUUAAAAAAAACUCAUUUAGCUUUUACAAUAACAAAACCUUAUCGAUCAUUAUAGCAAAACAAAAUGGUGAGAGGUACUGAGGUAGCAAUGCAAGUGAUGCAUAUUUCACAGGGCAAAAAAUGGUUCAAGUCAUAUAUGUACUCUUUAACUGCUCAUAUUUUUUAGCACACAAAUUACCACUUGUUUAAUUUUCUCCAAUCAACAUCGUCAACAGCCAUGCUGCUUCCGGUGAGAUGCCUACUGUCAGUCGAGACGAUUGGAGGUAUUCUUGUCUCUUAUAAUAUGGAUUGAACUUCUUUAAUGUUUCAUUGCUUUGUGAUGGAUGGUUUACUUCAUUGCUUUAAUUCCCAACUUCAUUCCUUCCCACAUUUCCAUUGCUAGAUUCGUUAAGAACCAACACUAGUUCUUAAUUUCUGGAAGUGUAAUUCUUUGCAAACAUAUGAGCAGAGAUCGCAAUGAGAAAGCUAAGCAAACAAGUUUCACCACUAAACGUCAAACACAUGUAUGAUUCCUCAAGUAGCUCAAAUAAAUAUAUGCUCAGCAGUACCAAAGUGAAAGCUAUGUAACCUUUUCCGGGUUUGCCACAACUAUCUUAACGAGCAAGUGUCUACGUUCCACUGAAAUUCUCAAGAUUCAAUUCAUUCAUACAAACUCAGUUCACAAUGAGAGUGCU